GCCCGGGCUUCGGCCUGGUUAUUCAUAACCCUUUGUUGUCCGACUCUGUUGCCUCCGGGGCGACCCUGCCUUCGGGCGGGGGCUCCGGGUGGACACUUCAAACUCUUGCGUAACUUUGCAGUCUGAGUAAACUUAAUUAAUAAAUUAAAACUUUUAACAACGGAUCUCUUGGUUCUGGCAUCGAUGAAGAACGCAGCGAAAUGCGAUAAGUAAUGUGAAUUGCAGAAUUCAGUGAAUCAUCGAAUCUUUGAACGCACAUUGCGCCCCCUGGUAUUCCGGGGGGCAUGCCUGUUCGAGCGUCAUUUCACCACUCAAGCCUCGCUUGGUAUUGGGCAACGCGGUCCGCCGCGUGCCUCAAAUCGUCCGGCUGGGUCUUCUGUCCCCUAAGCGUUGUGGAAACUAUUCGCUAAAGGGUGUUCGGGAGGCUACGCCGUAAAACAACCCCAUUUCUAAGGUUGACCUCGGAUCAGGUAGGGAUACCCGCUGAACUUAAGCAUAUCAA
This 502-nucleotide ribosomal RNA is filed under the name Cladosporium cladosporioides. RNAcentral's name for it is "eukaryotic LSU rRNA". The stretch from base 149 to 302 matches the Rfam family "5.8S ribosomal RNA". Lineage: Eukaryota; Fungi; Ascomycota; Dothideomycetes; Cladosporiales; Cladosporiaceae. The record is from RNAcentral.